AUGAACGCUCGCGGCAGGCUUAACACAUGCAAGUCGAGGGGCAGCGCGGGAUAGCAAUAUCCUGGCGGCGACCGGCGGAAGGGUGCGUAACGCGUGAGCGACAUGCCCGUUGCCCGGGGACAACCGGUGGAAACGCCGACUAAUCCCCGAUGGGAUAUUGUGCCGCAUGGCACGAUAUUGAAAGUUACGGCGGCGACGGAUUGGCUCGCGUCCGAUUAGCUUGUUGGCGGGGUAACGGCCCACCAAGGCUGCGAUCGGUAGGGGUUCUGAGAGGAAGGCCCCCCACAAUGGGACUGAGACACGGCCCAUACUCCUACGGGAGGCAGCAGUGAGGAAUAUUGGUCAAUGGGCGGAAGCCUGAACCAGCCAUGCCGCGUGCGGGAAGGAGGCCCUAUGGGCUGUGAACCGCUUUUGCCUGGGGGCAAUAAGGGCGUCGCGCACGUCCGAUGAGAGUACCAGGCGAAUAAGCAUCGGCUAACUCCGUG
Molecule: ribosomal RNA, 485 nt
Filed under: uncultured bacterium
Lineage: Bacteria
Description: partial 16S ribosomal RNA
Rfam family: Bacterial small subunit ribosomal RNA
Source: RNAcentral